This is a long non-coding RNA of Jatropha curcas, 1930 nucleotides long. RefSeq lists it as uncharacterized. The record is from RefSeq and is a predicted model, not a curated record. Lineage: Eukaryota; Viridiplantae; Streptophyta; Magnoliopsida; Malpighiales; Euphorbiaceae.
AACCAAUAGAGAAACCUCUAGAAACAAAAAAAUUGAACCAGCUAAAAUCUAGAAUCUUCUAAGAACAAAACCAGUUCCACCUUUAGCCAUUAGGGUAAGGAGAGAGAAUUUUCGUCUCACCUUUCUCCCUCUCAGGUUCAGCAAGCACCCUUUCCCUCACCCUCUCCGAUUCAUUUUCGGCCAAUCAACGGCCAAUUAAAUCUCCAUUUCCGUUGAGAAAAAUUGAGUUUCGGCCUCCUUUUCAUCAUAGUCAGCUUUCUUUCUUAUUUUGUUGGUUGUUCUUCGCGUGAGGGAGAGAGACAGAUUCCGAUUCAGUUUCGCAGGCCGAAUUCAAGCCAUUUCCAGCAAGUUGAUCAGUCAAGCUAGUCGAGAUUGAUUCUUUAUCACCUCUGGAAUGAUUUUUCCUCCAUCGAUUCGUGCAACUGUUGAGUUGUAAUAGAUCCACCAUGAAUGGUGGUGGGGAGGAGACUGUCGAGGUCGUUUCGCCCAUUAGGAGACCUUGUCUCGCAAAAUGGGCCUUAGAACGAGAGUCCUCGUGCAAAAUGGAGCAAGAUAAUACAACACGUUGCAUUUUUUUGGAGAAGUUCGAUUUUUCGGCCACCGUCCAUGGCAGCUCCGGCUACUCUCCGGUGAGACAAUAGAGGCAGCAACAUCUUCUCAUUUUGCUGGUUACCAUGACGCUUUUACUUUUCGCAUUGGAAUAUCUAAAGUUGUAGGCGUCCAAACUAGAAUCCGUUUGAUCCAUUGGAAAGAUGAAACAAAACUCUACAAAUGUCUAAGAAGGAUCAAAAUCCAAUUCAGCCUCAAUGUUGAUCAAAAGUAGCUUUGAAUCCAGGAGAAAUGUUUAGAAUGAGCAUGCACAGCAGGUUUCGGUGUUUAAUUCAUAUAUGGAGUUUUACAUGUCCAAAUAAACUCAGCCCGGGCCCAUUUGAACCUUAAUAGCCAGCUCUACAAUUGUUAUGAAGACCACUAAUGAAGACCACUAAAGUGAAAUGACGUGACGUCGUUUUGAGUGUUAAAAACGACAGACAAUUUGAUCAUUCUGCUAUAACGUAUGUUGAAGACCAACAUACCUAUUUCGGUGUUUUUACCAUAUCUUGAGCUGUAAGUAUCCAUUUUGGAUGAAUUAUAGCUCGUUGGACAGCUGAGGAGAUCUUCAAGUUUUUUGAAGAAUCAGAGAGAGAUUCGAAAAGAGAAGGGCUAAAAAAAGGGGAGAGAAAUUAGAACGAGAAGAUUUUCAAUUGAUUGCUUUCAAAAUCCCUAAUUUAUUGGGGAUUUUCUGUCGUCUUUGAGGCUAUAAAAGGAGUAAUUUUGGAAGCAGCAAGAUAUUAAGGUUUUUACUUAGUUCAUCAUCUAUUUUGAGUAUCUUUUUCUAUUCUUUUGUUUUAGUGAUUGUAAGCCAUUGGCAUGAGUGGCUAAUUUCUUAGUUCAAUUCAAGGGAUUCAACAUCCAUUUGUAUAUUUGUGAGACAUGUUCUUACUUUAAAUUGAUUCUCUUUGAAUAUUUGCUGUUUCUUGUAUUUAAGGUGUUAGUCCUAUUGAAUGAUUUGUUAAAAAGGCCUAUUAGUCAAUUAUUUGGUAUGAUUAAGUGUUAUUUCAUCUUCAUAAUUUAUAAUUAGGUUUUACCGAUUAUGUUCCAAGUUUUCAAUAAUAAUCUAAAGAAAUAAUAUGGUUGAAUUAAACAAUUUAUGGUUUUUAAAUUGUUAUGCAAGUUUAACUACUCCCUGUUCUUAAUGCUUUCAUUAGAUUAAAAAGAAUUGGUUAAUUCUGGUUUAUUUAAUAAUUAGAGUUAAUGAGGGUGCUGAGCUCAAAUUAACGAUAAUAGGGAAAUCAGGGAAUUUAUCAUGCUUGUUGGUAAGUUUCAGUUAAGUAUUCAAAGAAUUAAUUGUUGGUAAGUUUCAGUUAAGUAUUCAAAAAAUAAUUAAUUCCUA